UCAGUUUAAUAUUAUUUAAAUCUUUGGUUUUUGAUGAGUAAUAUUUGCGUUUAGUUGAUAAACCGAAACGUGAAAACAGGCGUUGAGACGGAAAUGACGUGAACUGUAGCAACAGUAAACUUCCGUCAACUGUCACUCAACUCGAAAGCUUGACGAAAAUAAUAACUGGGAGUUUUCUACGAGCCAUGAUGUGACUGUCGCCCCCCAGCGAUGUCUGCGGAGAUACACAUGGACAGGACGAGUCCACGCACAGAUCCAAGUCGGUCGCUUCGCUCUCAGGCGUCUGCUUCAGUGGCCACCUCUGGAAUCAGCGGGGUGGUGGAGCGCCAGGGCCACGGACCGGGCCUGUCGGCCCCCAGGGGCCCUGAUGAUUCUGUCCCCAUGGAUGCCGACGCCUCUCGGACCACAAAUCAAACCGUGCAACAGGCUGCAGAUGGUCCGUGCGAGCUGGUCCAGCGGCAGAUCGAGCAGAUCCACAAGGUUCUGCAGGAGCAGAGUCGACUGCUGACGCUGCUUUGUGCAGGGACGGAGCGGACUGGACUUCGAGAUGGAGACCGGGUCCCGGUCGGUCCCUCUGCAUGGUGGGACGUCCCGCCGGCUCACACUGAAGACAGUUGGAUCCGAUCUGCGUCGAGACAAAGCGAGAAUUUCAGAGAGUUUGUCGAAGAGCAACUGGAAGAUCAUGACACCUGUGGGCACGGACAGCUGGAGAACAAAGAAAGGCGGAAGGCCGAGGACGUUUGCAGGAUGAACAGAAAUAAAAUCGAGGUCGCCGGGCAGCCGGAGCUCCAGAGGACGGCUUCCCCCGGCCAGCAGCAGCAGCAGCAGCAGCCCAGCGGGAAGUCGGUCUCUAAAGAUGGACGGACAACACAGAUCCAGACGCAGACUGAGGACUUCUCCAGAGCCACAGAGGACUCCCAGGCGGAGGAGAAGACGCACAGUGACGAGCCUCCUCCUCCGCGUCCUCCCCUCUCUGAGCCCACAGUCGGAGGGAAAAGGGAAACGGAACACAGCGGUGAAACCGCAGGAAGGUGUGUUGGUGAAGACGAGGUCAAAGGUCAGACUGAGCUCGCGGCGCCUCGCGGAGAAACGGGCCGUGCCGCCGCCUCGGAGGAUCGGCGGGAACGCGUCCGGACGCCGCCGCAGCCCAACGCUGUGUACGGAUCAGGCUUAGUGCAGCAUUUCAACAUUUCCCUCCCUGCGAGAGAGGAGAGCGGCGUUUCCCCCCGGGCCUGGAGAAACCAGGAAGUUAUUGUUAGUUUUAGGACAGCGAACGACCACAUGGGGCGAGUCUCAAGCCCCGACGUGGAAACUCUAUCCCCAGGCUGCGAUGAAACAAACACACAUUUUCAACUUUGCCACUGCGGAGGGCCGAGAGCGGGAGGCAACGCAGGCUCACACCGGGUCAGAGGUCGAGGGGAACCAUCUCCCACCAACACAGCUCGUCUCCGUCCGCCGGACGGCACGCGUCGACCUCCGACGCCCCCGAAGCGCGGCGCGUUUCCCGGGCAUUCCACCACGAGACGCAGUCGUGGCGGCGGCUGUGGCGGUGGCGGCGGCGGCGGCGGCAGCGAGGAUGGAGAUCACCCAUCCACACGGUGUCACCAGUUUCCCAAGCUCCCGUCCCUUCCUCCCGGCCUCGGCACUCACGAUUCCCAUUGGAAUCCACCGGAGGGUGAUUGUGCCAGCGACGCUCCCGGCGAGGCCGAGGAGGGACGCAUGUCCUCGGGGGAAGUGAGGCAGGACCAGACACUUGGACCUGGGCCAGGGGCUCAGCAUCGAUCGAACAGAGGAAACAACACUCUGGAGGUUCAGAAAACGCUGAGGGGAAACUCGCUGAAAGCCGAUAAGGAACGUGGCGAACCAGUUGAAUCGAUAACGGCACCGGCGUCGCGUGGAUUUCACCGAGAGACGGUGGAGAGAGGAGGAGCUGACGGCCCCUUUGACAGAGAACGAGGUGACGCCGCGAGGAAGCAACACGGUCUGCGCCAACCGCAGUCGAGGAGGGAAGUCCAGAGCGAGGGCGACUGGUCUGUAGUUCGACGCCGGCUAGAGGAGCUGAUCAGAGAAAACUCCGAGCUGAGGAAGAAACUCACAGUCACACCACAGUGCCACCUCCAGGCCGACCGAUGUACUGCAACAACACCUGUCGCGUCCCAUGAGAGACGCACGCAGACGGGGCGGCGUGCGUCCGACCGGCGCGGCCUGGCGACCUCCGCCGCCGCCGGGUCGAGGAACGCGAUUCCCGCGCACCGGAAGACGGAGACGGUCACGUUCUUCAACGGAGACGUGAAACACACGUCAGGAGACGGGAAAGUGCGUUUUCCUACUCUGUUCAGGUGUAUUACUACGCCGGCCCGCAGACGACACACACCACCUACCCGAGUGGCCUGGAGAUCCUCCACUUCCCCAACAGGCAGAUCGAGAAGCGACACCCCGGAGGCCAGAGGGAGAUUUUAUUCCCCGACCGCACCAUCAAGUGUCUGGAGCCCGACGGCAGCGAGAGGACGAUCUUCGGCGACGGCACCAUCGUUCACGUCUCACCGUGAGACAGGACGAGCAGCCGUCAUCACUCCAGGACUCCUCACACACACACAAAUAAUAUGCAGCGUCGCCGUGAGGGCCAGACACUGACAUCAUCCACUUUUGAUAUCAAGCACUAAAUACUUUAUGCAUUUAUGUCUAGAUGGAUUGAUUGUUAUGGAAAAUUGAAUCAGGAAGACGAAGGCCGUGUCCGUCUUGAGCAAAAGUAUUUAUUGCUUAAGAGCCCAAAUACAUUGAGGAGAUUUUUCUGAUUCGUUACACGGAUCAACAAGUGGUCAGUGCAUGUUGUCCCCCCUCCCUCCCCAAAACCCCUCCCUAGCCCGGUCAGAGUGACAGAUUUAACUCUGAGAAUCACGUGUCGUCAUCUCCAUAGAAACACUGUUUCUCUGUCUCGGUAAAAAUGUAGGACAAAGGGCGACCGACCUCGCAACUAGGACUCAACAUUCUAAGAGUCAGGACAGAAAUGUCCGGUGAGAAGACGGUCGACUUCCCCAGCGGUCAGAGGGAAAUCCACACUUCCCGGUACAAGAGGAGAGAGUAUCCCGACGGGACGGUGAAGACCGUCUUCCCCGGCGGGCGACAGGAAACCAAGUAUCCAUCGGGCAG
This is an RNA transcript of Scophthalmus maximus (turbot), 3150 nucleotides long. It is a transcript of the gene named serine/arginine repetitive matrix protein 2, with no coding region annotated. The record is from RefSeq and is a predicted model, not a curated record. NCBI's taxonomy places the organism in Eukaryota, Metazoa, Chordata, Actinopteri, Pleuronectiformes, Scophthalmidae. The transcript is spliced from 13 exons.